Molecule: ribosomal RNA, 92 nt
Filed under: Peribacillus huizhouensis
Lineage: Bacteria; Bacillati; Bacillota; Bacilli; Caryophanales; Bacillaceae
Source: RNAcentral
ACACCCGUUCCCAUUCCGAACACGGAAGUUAAGCUCUUUAGCGCCGAUGGUAGUUGGGGGUUUCCCCCUGUGAGAGUAGGACGCCGCCAAGC